This 1592-nucleotide ribosomal RNA is filed under the name metagenome. RNAcentral describes it as "bacterial LSU rRNA". It matches the Rfam family "Bacterial large subunit ribosomal RNA", at positions 1340 to 2925 of the family's 2925-position model. The record is from RNAcentral.
AAAGCCCAAGGUUUCCUACGCAACGUUCAUCGGCGUAGGGUGAGUCGGCUCCUAAGGCGAGGCAGAAAUGCGUAGUCGAUGGGAAACAGGUCAAUAUUCCUGUACCGAUUCUAGAUGCGAUGUGGGGACGGAGAAGGUUAGGUCAGCCGGGUGUUGGACGUCCCGGUUUAAGCGUGUAGGCGUGCCCCUUAGGCAAAUCCGGGGGGCUGAGCUGAGGCGUGAUGACGAGGAACCACGGUUCCGAAGUGAUUGAUACCAAGCUUCCAGGAAAAGCCACUAAGCUUCAGUCUAGAGUUGACCGUACCGCAAACCGACACAGGUGGGCAGGAUGAAAAUUCUAAGGCGCUUGAGAGAACUCAGGAGAAGGAACUCGGCAAAUUAACACCGUAACUUCGGGAGAAGGUGUGCCCCGGUAGCGUGUAGAGACUUGCUCUCGAAGCGCGAUGGGGUUGCAGUGAAAUGGUGGCUGCGACUGUUUAAUAAAAACACAGCGCUCUGCAAACACGAAAGUGGACGUAUAGGGUGUGACGCCUGCCCGGUGCCGGAAGGUUAAGUGAUGGGGUGCAAGCUCUUGAUCGAAGCCCCGGUAAACGGCGGCCGUAACAAUAACGGUCCUAAGGUAGCGAAAUUCCUUGUCGGGUAAGUUCCGACCUGCACGAAUGGCGUAACGAUGGCCACACUGUCUCCUCCUGGGACUCAGCGAAGUUGAAAUGUUUGUGAAGAUGCAAUCUACCCGCGGCUAGACGGAAAGACCCCAUGAACCUUUACUGUAGCUUUGCAUUGGACUUUGAACCGGUUUGUGUAGGAUAGGUGGGAGACUGUGAAGCCGGGACGCUAGUUUCGGUGGAGUCAACCUUGAAAUACCACCCUGAUUUGUUUGAGGUUCUAACCUUGGUCCGUGAAUCCGGAUCGGGGACCGUGCAUGGUAGGCAGUUUGACUGGGGCGGUCUCCUCCCAAAAGGUAACGGAGGAGUACGAAGGUACGCUUAGGGCGGUCGGACAUCGCCCACAAAGUGCAAUGGCAAAAGCGUGCUUGACUGCGAGACCCACAAGUCGAGCAGGUACGAAAGUAGGUCAUAGUGAUCCGGUGGUUCUGUAUGGAAGGGCCAUCGCUCAACGGAUAAAAGGUACUCUGGGGAUAACAGGCUAAUUCCUCCCAAGAGUUCAUAUCGACGGGGGAGUUUGGCACCUCGAUGUCGGCUCAUCACAUCCUGGGGCUGUAGUCGGUCCCAAGGGUAUGGCUGUUCGCCAUUUAAAGUGGUACGCGAGCUGGGUUUAAAACGUCGUGAGACAGUUUGGUCCCUAUCUGCCGUGGGCGCUGGAAAUUUGAAGGGGGCUGCUCCUAGUACGAGAGGACCGGAGUGGACGAACCUCUGGUGUACCGGUUAUGACGCCAGUCGUAUCGCCGGGUAGCUAAGUUCGGAAGAGAUAAACGCUGAAAGCAUCUAAGCGUGAAACUCGCCUUAAGAUAAGAUUUCCCGGAGUCUUUAACUCCCUGGAGGGUCGUCGAAGACCACGACGUUGAUAGGUCAGGUGCGGAAGCGCAGCAACGCGUUAAGCUAACUGAUACUAAUUGCCCGUGCGGCUUGAUC